GUUUAUAAAGUUUUAAAAACAUUUCAUUUUCAUUGAAAAGAGAGAAAUUUUUCUUGUAAAUA
RNAcentral lists this transfer RNA (62 nucleotides) under Mogannia minuta. RNAcentral's name for it is "tRNA-Glu". The record is from RNAcentral. Lineage: Eukaryota; Metazoa; Arthropoda; Insecta; Hemiptera; Cicadidae.